GGCCCAUAGCUCAGUGGUAGAGCAUCUGCCCUGGAAGCAGAAGGUCCCAGGCUCAAUCCAAAGCAUCUUCA
This is a non-coding RNA of Podarcis lilfordi (Lilford's wall lizard), 71 nucleotides long. NCBI's taxonomy places the organism in Eukaryota, Metazoa, Chordata, Lepidosauria, Squamata, Lacertidae. The record is from the annotation of a GenBank genome assembly.